CAUUUUAAAACUUUAAUUAGUCAAAAGGCCACCUAAUCUCUCUCUCUCUCUCUCUCAUUGGCGAUUCAGGAGCAUCCCUUGGUGACUCGCCGGAGCCGGAGUCGGAGCCUUAGCUCGAUCUCUCAUGUUAUCCUCCGAUGGCGGCAGUGAGGCUCCGUCUACUCCCCAUGGUGGUCCGACGAGACUCCAACCAUGUUUGAGCUCCGACUCAACCAAGGGGCUGCUCUUCUCCUGAAGGCCGUGGCGCCACUCAUUGACCUGGCCGACUUUGCCAAUGUCUCACCGGAUAAGGUAUUCUUGCUGAUUGCCGGCAACUCCAUGAUCUCCGAGGGGGACUUCGUUAUGCUAUGGAUUCCGGAGUUGACCUUCGCUUGCGUCAUUUGCAACGUUCACGGAUCCUUCGUUCUCAACCUAGGCCGCUUGUACUCCAAUCUGAAUCGCGCCGGCGACGACGGCGAGGAUUUGAUCAGCUUCGUGACUGUGAAUUCCGGGUUUAAAGGUUUCGGGUGCUAUUUGUUUUGAUAGUUCACGGUAGUUUCAAUUGGUUCUUGGAUGUGGAAAUCAGUACAAUGCUUUGUUGGGCGUGAGGCAGUAUUGAGACAACACAAUGCUUAAAUGGAUGGUUUAAUGCUAAAAAUGUAGCUGAAUAACAAGGAUUCAUACAAUAUGUUAGUGCAAGAUUUUGAGAAUUCUUUCCCUUUGCAUUUGUAGUAGUAGAUUUUGAAAAUCAUGUGGAUUUGGAUAUUGAAGCCUCCAUUGGCCAAGAUAUCAUUCGGCCUACCAAGAAAUGUUAAAAUGAAGUCUCGUGCUGAAGGUGACAAAAUUAUGUCUAUGGGUUUAGAGCGUCACCAUUGAAAAAUGACAGUAGCAUUACAAUUGACAAUAGCUUUAUACAACUAUUGUAAUAUAUUUUCACAACUAUGGUAGUGGCUUUUUACAUAGUUAUAUCAUUGUUGAACGUUGCAUACUUUUAGUAUCAUUGAAUAUUUUUU
Molecule: RNA transcript, 992 nt
Organism: Rosa rugosa (rugosa rose)
Lineage: Eukaryota; Viridiplantae; Streptophyta; Magnoliopsida; Rosales; Rosaceae
Exons: 4
Source: RefSeq, a predicted model, not a curated record